Molecule: ribosomal RNA, 241 nt
Filed under: uncultured bacterium
Lineage: Bacteria
Description: partial 16S ribosomal RNA
Rfam family: Bacterial small subunit ribosomal RNA
Source: RNAcentral
GAUCAUGGCUAAGGACGAACGCUGGCGGCGCGCCUAACACAUGCAAGUCGAACGGAGCUUGAAGAGCUUGCUUUUUAAGCUUAGUGGCGAACGGGUGAGUAACGCGUGAGUAACCUGCCCUGGAGUGGGGACAACAGUUGGAAACGACUGCUAAUACCGCAUAAGCCCACGGAUCUGCAUGGAUCUGCGGGAAAAGGAUUUAUUCGCUUCAGGAUGGACUCGCGUCCAAUUAGCUAGUUGG